RNAcentral lists this long non-coding RNA (200 nucleotides) under Solanum tuberosum (potato). Its description in RNAcentral is "long non-coding RNA (STUB_LNC001322)". Lineage: Eukaryota; Viridiplantae; Streptophyta; Magnoliopsida; Solanales; Solanaceae. The record is from RNAcentral.
CACUCACAAGAUCAGCAACACACAAGAUCAAGUUCACCAAUAAUAAAGAAGUGCAAUGCAAUGAAAUGCAAUGUCAAGUAUAGUGAUGCAUGUCUGACCUAAUGAUACACACCCGCUGUCUCUCAGUCCGGGACCCAUGGGGGACAUAUCUGUCCAUGCAUCCAUCGCGGCGCGCGAUACGACCCUCGAUAAUAGUAACC